RNAcentral lists this transfer RNA (77 nucleotides) under Chloroflexales bacterium. RNAcentral describes it as "tRNA-Arg". It matches the Rfam family "tRNA". Rfam says of the family: Transfer RNA (tRNA) molecules are approximately 80 nucleotides in length. Their secondary structure includes four short double-helical elements and three loops (D, anti-codon, and T loops). Lineage: Bacteria; Bacillati; Chloroflexota; Chloroflexia; Chloroflexales. The record is from RNAcentral.
GCCCUCGUAGCUCAAAUGGAUAGAGCGGCACCGUCCUAAGGUGCGCGUUAGUGGUUCGAGUCCGCUCGGGGGCGCCA